Molecule: ribosomal RNA, 484 nt
Filed under: uncultured bacterium
Lineage: Bacteria
Description: partial 16S ribosomal RNA
Rfam family: Bacterial small subunit ribosomal RNA
Source: RNAcentral
AUUGAACGCUGGCGGCAGGCCUAACACGUGCAAGUCGAGCGGAUGAAGGGAGCUUGCUCCUGGAUUCAGCGGCGGACGGGUGAGUAAUGCCUAGGAAUCUGCCUGGUAGUGGGGGAUAACGUCCGGAAACGGGCGCUAAUACCGCAUACGUCCUGAGGGAGAAAGUGGGGGAUCUUCGGACCUCACGCUAUCAGAUGAGCCUAGGUCGGAUUAGCUAGUUGGUGGGGUAAAGGCCUACCAAGGCGACGAUCCGUAACUGGUCUGAGAGGAUGAUCAGUCACACUGGAACUGAGACACGGUCCAGACUCCUACGGGAGGCAGCAGUGGGGAAUAUUGGACAAUGGGCGAAAGCCUGAUCCAGCCAUGCCGCGUGUGUGAAGAAGGUCUUCGGAUUGUAAAGCACUUUAAGUUGGGAGGAAGGGCAGUAAGUUAAUACCUUGCUGUUCUGACGUUACCAACAGAAUAAGCACCGGCUAACUUCGUG